GGAGUAAAAGUCGUAACAAGGUCUCCGUUGGUGAACCAGCGGAGGGAUCAUUACCGAGUUUACAACUCCCAAACCCAAUGUGAACCAUACCAAACUGUUGCCUCGGCGGGGUCACGCCCCGGGUGCGUCGCAGCCCCGGAACCAGGCGCCCGCCGGAGGGACCAACCAAACUCUUUCUGUAGUCCCCUCGCGGACGUUAUUUUUACAGCUUUGAGCAAAAAUUCAAAAUGAAUCAAAACUUUCAACAACGGAUCUCUUGGUUCUG
RNAcentral lists this unclassified non-coding RNA (265 nucleotides) under plant metagenome. RNAcentral's name for it is "partial contains small subunit ribosomal RNA, internal transcribed spacer 1, and 5.8S ribosomal RNA". The stretch from base 1 to 53 matches the Rfam family "Eukaryotic small subunit ribosomal RNA", at positions 1779 to 1831 of the family's 1831-position model. The record is from RNAcentral.